GAGGUGUGGGUGUGCCCUGGGCUGGCUCUGCCUCCGCCAUGGAUCUCGGCCAUGCAGCCUUCACAAAGGAUCAGAACCUGGAAUCUGGGAGACCUCAUGAACCUCAUUCCCAUGAGACUUGGCCCCCAAGCAGCAGGCAGCAGAGAAGUGCAGGGCAGAGGAAAGAAUUUGCCUUUUGUGAAAGGUGGUGGCUCCCCUUCCCUGAGAUUAAACUGGAUCCUUAUUUACAAAGGAGGAGCAAUGUGUGAAGUAGCAGAGUGAGUCUCUGCACGCACGCUUGACCUGGAAAGACCUACUGAGGCUGGAGAUCGUGCUCCAGGAGCUAUCCUCACCCAGCUCAGCAUUCUGGUGUCUCAUUUGUGAUCCAGGAACACUGAGUCAUUAGACUGGGACCAUCACAUCAUCUGUGGUGCCCAGCACCACUCAGACCAGUAAAUAGAGCCCUGGUACUCAAAUAAGCUUUAACCAGGGUGACCUGCAGCCUGCACAGAUGCAUCACAGACAUUGGCAUAAACACAUAUGGCUGCAAGCGGCCAUGCUCUAAGUGCUAUGGCACAAUAACCAAGUCCCACAUUGUCCAGAUACAUUGUUCUCUCCCCAGGGGGCAAUCUUCUCUCACCCUCUAU
Pogoniulus pusillus (Red-fronted tinkerbird) is the source of this 626-nucleotide long non-coding RNA. RefSeq lists it as uncharacterized. The transcript is spliced from 3 exons. Lineage: Eukaryota; Metazoa; Chordata; Aves; Piciformes; Lybiidae. The record is from RefSeq and is a predicted model, not a curated record.